This 155-nucleotide ribosomal RNA is filed under the name uncultured Porphyromonas sp. Its description in RNAcentral is "partial 16S ribosomal RNA". It matches the Rfam family "Bacterial small subunit ribosomal RNA", at positions 355 to 507 of the family's 1533-position model. Lineage: Bacteria; Pseudomonadati; Bacteroidota; Bacteroidia; Bacteroidales; Porphyromonadaceae. The record is from RNAcentral.
UGAGGAAUAUUGGUCAAUGGGCGCAAGCCUGAACCAGCCAUGCCGCGUGCAGGAAGAAUGCCCUAUGGGUUGUAAACUGCUUUUAUUUAGGAAUAAACUCUUGUACGUGUACAAGCCUGAAGGUACUAAAUGAAUAAGCACCGGCUAACUCCGUG